This 256-nucleotide ribosomal RNA is filed under the name uncultured bacterium. RNAcentral's name for it is "partial 16S ribosomal RNA". It matches the Rfam family "Bacterial small subunit ribosomal RNA", at positions 524 to 777 of the family's 1533-position model. The record is from RNAcentral.
UACGUAGGGUGCAAGCGUUAAUCGGAAUUACUGGGCGUAAAGCGUGCGCAGGCGGUUUUGUAAGUUUGUCGUGAAAUCCCCGGGCUCCAACCUGGGAAUGGCGAUGAAGACUGCAAGGCUAGAGUUUGGCAGAGGGGGGUAGAAUUCCACGGUGUAGCAGUGAAAUGCGUAGAUAUGUGGAGGAAUACCGAUGGCGAAGGCAGCCCCUGGGCCAAUACUGACGCCUCAUGCACGAAAGCGUGGGGAGCAAACAGGA